This is a long non-coding RNA of Labrus mixtus (cuckoo wrasse), 472 nucleotides long. RefSeq lists it as uncharacterized. The transcript has 3 exons. The record is from RefSeq and is a predicted model, not a curated record. Lineage: Eukaryota; Metazoa; Chordata; Actinopteri; Labriformes; Labridae.
AGUUAAUGGCUUCCUGUGGCUGCGUGUUUACUUCUCAUUUGUUCUGUUUCCCAGCCCCUGAAAACAAGAAAGGCUAACUUUAAAAUCUCUAUUCCCACAGCUCCGUCUCUGACUGUCUGCCUCUCCUUUCUUCUUCUUCUUCUCUCAGAAACAAAAGAAGUUGGCUUUCUCAAAGCUGCAGCACAAUGACUCAUACCUGAAGCCCCUCCCUAAAAGCAGCUACUACCUGGUCUUUGACCUCCAGAGGCAGUUAGCUGAGCGAGGACGUCUGAAGACUCACCACGAGCUGGAGGACUUCUACAGAGCCGUCGAGUUCAGAGGUCGGCCGUCACAGCUCCAGAGGAGUCUGGAGGCUGUGAGGAGAAACAUGCUGGAGAGCAGACCUGCAGCUGAUUUGAUGACAUCAGAAGAACGACGCUGCGCUGCUGAAGAAAAAAGACGUGAGGAGAACAUUUCAAAGUUCAGGUGAGAG